Molecule: ribosomal RNA, 446 nt
Filed under: uncultured bacterium
Lineage: Bacteria
Description: SSU rRNA
Rfam family: Bacterial small subunit ribosomal RNA
Source: RNAcentral
AGAACGAACGCUGGCGGCAUGCCUAACACAUGCAAGUCGAACGAAGCCUUCGGGCUUAGUGGCGCACGGGUGCGUAACGCGUGGGAAUCUGCCCCUCGGUUCGGAAUAACAGUUAGAAAUGACUGCUAAUACCGGAUAAUGACGUAAGUCCAAAGAUUUAUCGCCGAGGGAUGAGCCCGCGUAGGAUUAGCUAGUUGGUAGGGUAAAAGCCUACCAAGGCGACGAUCCUUAGCUGGUCUGAGAGGAUGAUCAGCCACACUGGGACUGAGACACGGCCCAGACUCCUACGGGAGGCAGCAGUGGGGAAUAUUGGACAAUGGGCGAAAGCCUGAUCCAGCAAUGCCGCGUGAGUGAUGAAGGCCUUAGGGUUGUAAAGCUCUUUUACCCGGGAUGAUAAUGACAGUACCGGGAGAAUAAGCUCCGGCUAACUCCGUGCCAGCAGCCGC